GAGUGUGAUCAUACUUGCAUUAAUGCACCAUAUCCCAUUGGAACUCCGCAGUUAAGUGCGGUUGGGAUAGAGUAGUACUGGGAUGGGUGACCUCUCGAGAAGUCCUAGUGUCGCACCCU
This is a non-coding RNA of Picea glauca (white spruce), 119 nucleotides long. The record is from Rfam. Lineage: Eukaryota; Viridiplantae; Streptophyta; Pinopsida; Pinales; Pinaceae.